UCAGGAGCUGCUGGAAGAGGACGACGCGGCGGGAGGAGUGUGUCUCCAUGUGGACAAGGAUAAGGUGUCGGUGGAGUUCUGCUCGGCGUGCGCUCGGAAGGCGUCGUCUUCUCUUAAAAUGUAGGGUCAAGUAAUCUGCUCUUUAUCCGCGUUUACCCCUUUCUACACCCUUACACCAUGUAAAACACCUUAGUGGGACAUCUUCACCGGACGCAUUUGAGAGGCGGAAAAAAAGUAAUAUUAAGUCUUUUAAGUGUUUAGCUAAAAGCAUGAAUGUGACACUGUAACCAACUCCUAAUGAUAACCUGUGACUAUUAAAUCUCUCUGACAGUUUCUUUUUUAGGUGAUUUCCUUCCUGCCAGGCUCCGUUGUAGGGGUUACAGAACAGUCGUUCCCGCCUCACAACCUGGUAAGGAUCCAUCUCUUCACGUAACGCUCAUGCUCUGCUGCUUAGCCUAAUUUAAUGGGCAAACAUCUCAAUGUGUGUGUGUGAUACCUUUUUUGUUUGUUUCUUUUUUCUUUUUAAAGGUGGGAGGGCAGUCUUAAUUUGGGCCUUGUCCACCCUGGAAACAGACUUGUGCUGGUCAUUAAUGUACUUAAGUUGCUAAUGGUUGAAAUAGCUGUUAAAUGUGUCCCCUUGUUCAGAGUUUUGCGUGUACCUAGCUCUUCUGUCCCCAGUGUGGACAUGGCCUUGGAUGACAUCGGUUCCAACUGUACACUGAAACCUGCUAAUAGAGAUACAGUUUGGAGACAGUGAAACAGGUGAAGUUGAAUGGAAGUUCCGAGUUGUACAAGGUGCAAAUUGGAAUUCCAAUUGUAGAGCAACUUUUCAAAGGUUGACAAUAAGUAUUGAGGCAUGCGCAAAUGUGGUAUUUUUCUGGAGAUGACAAAUCUCCUAAAAUACUUAAGAAUGCCUUCUAGUUUUCAGUAGAAAAUGCAGAAAUACAAUCUAUUUAAAGAUCCUAAUAUUUCACCACUUGAGAAGAUGGAAAUUAAUUUACCCAUCAGAUUUGUGUUUUAAUUAGAAGACGAUAAAUGAAAUGUUUCUUUGAGGACCAGCACAGUAUACCUAUCAAUGAGUAUGAAGAAAUUGUUGAAAGUAUUUAUUUUUGUUGUAUUAAAAUUUAGGCUAAAUUUCUGUACGAUUAUUAGAUAUUGAAGGUUGUGAAAUGUGAAUGAAA
RNAcentral lists this long non-coding RNA (1181 nucleotides) under Rattus norvegicus (Norway rat). Its description in RNAcentral is "long non-coding RNA NONRATT002925". The record is from RNAcentral. Lineage: Eukaryota; Metazoa; Chordata; Mammalia; Rodentia; Muridae.